This 1563-nucleotide small RNA is filed under the name Pongo abelii (Sumatran orangutan). RNAcentral describes it as "retained intron". Lineage: Eukaryota; Metazoa; Chordata; Mammalia; Primates; Hominidae. The record is from RNAcentral.
GGAGACCUCGGCUAUCCUGGCCCUCCGAGGCCCACGAGGAGGCGCGGCCCAACGCCGGGGCCUGAAACAUUGAGGCCGGACCCUAGCGAGACAGCAGAGCCUGGCCUGACGCUGGAAACCACACCCUGGCCCAGACUGCCAGCCCUGACGGGACAGAGCGAGGGCACUCACCAGGCUGCAGGAACAGUGCUGGGGUAAGAGGGGAGCGGGCCUAAAGGUGGAGGAUUCUGGGCCUGGGACCCAGCCUGCAUUCCUUUGUUCAUUCAUUCAUUCAUUCAUUCAUCCAUCAGCAGGGACCCACUAGUGAGGGGCCAGGCCUGCUUCCCCAGGGCCUAGCUGAGGAAGACAGGGCAGAGGGGCCAACAGUAGUCUCACACCUUGCUGGGACAUCCUGGACUCUGGAACCAAGAGCAAACAGGGAUGUCAAAACAGUAUGCAAAAGUGUGGAUGAUGGCGGGGCAUGGUGGUGCAUGCCUGUAAUCCCAGCAGUUUGGGAGGCUAAGGCAGGAGGAUCACUUGAGCCCAGGAGUUCCAGACCACCCUGGACAACAGAGUGAGAACCUGCCUCUACAAAAAAAAAAAAUUUUUUUUUUUUUUUUAAUUAGGCGGGCAUGGUGGCACAUGCCGGUACUCUCAGCUACUCAGGAGGCUGAGACAGGAGGAUGGCUCAAGCCCAGGAAUUUGAGGCUGCAGUGAGCUAUGAUUGCACCACUGUACUCCAGCCUGGGCAACAGAGGGAGACCCUGUCUCUAAAAAAAAAAAACACAUUUUUAAAAAUGUGGAUGCUGAUGAGGAUGGGGGCUUCCAAGCCAGAGGGAGGGUUGGGGCAUGACUGGACUGGACUGGGCAGUGGGGUCAGUGUUUAGGGGUCUAGGGUCAGCAUUUGAGGUCAUAGUGUCAGUAGUUGGGUCACAGGGUUGCUAUGGGGGACGUUUGCAGUGGGAGUGGGGUUCACUCAAGCAAUUAUGAAGCAUUUUCAGGGACAGCAAUGGGAAGAACCGCAGGGUCAUUCCUGAGGUGCAGAGGGUCAGCCUGGGUGGGGGCUGGGGGCCAUCCGUGAAGGGUCAGAGUCCAUCUUGGAGGGAUUCCAAGCUCACAUGGCAUCAGUGAGUCAAUGAGGAGUCUCUGGAUUGGAUCUUUAGAUCUGAGGAUAACAGGGUUAAUCUUGGGGUUUCUGGGGAUCCCAGGAUCAGUUAGGGGCUCCCUGUCUUGUUCCCUCUCCAGGCUGCAGAGGUGAGGGAAUUCUGGAAGAAGGAAUAUUUGCUCAGAGGCUGGGCAACAGCACCCCUCCUGGGUCACAAAGAGCUCAGAGACAGUGCGCUGCCUAGCACCUAGGGGGGCGCCUCCUACUCUAACGUAGGACCCACUCCCGUGUCCUGGAAGUUUCUGGGCCUGCCCCCGCCAUCUGCCUUUGCCUACUGAAACUCCUCCCCUCCUCCUUUCCCCCUCCCCCUCCCUCCUUCCCAUUUGAGGGGUUUCUUGAGCUAAGCAGGUGGGAGCGGGGCACCUAGUCCUCCUCCCCAGUGGCUGCCUUCUUUCCCACAGGUGAGUACCCCCACGUCG